Molecule: long non-coding RNA, 370 nt
Filed under: Anas platyrhynchos platyrhynchos (common mallard)
Lineage: Eukaryota; Metazoa; Chordata; Aves; Anseriformes; Anatidae
Description: lncRNA (ENSAPLG00000023592.1)
Source: RNAcentral
UCCCUUUUUUUCCUUUUUUUCCCCUUUAUUUUCCCUUUAUUUUCCUUUUUUCCCUUUAUUUUCCCCUUUUUUCCUUUAUUUUCCUUUAUUUUACUUUUUUUCCCUUUACUUUACUUUAUUUUCCCUUUUUCCCUUUUUUUCCCUUUUCCCUUUUUUUUCCUUUUUUCCCCUUAUUUUACUUUUUCCCCUUUUUUCCUUUUUUUUCCCCUUUUUUCCCCUUUUUUUCCCUUUUUCCCCUUUUUUUCCCUUUUUUCCCUUUUUUUCCCUUUUUUCCCCUUAUUUUACUUUUUCCCCCUUUUUCCCUUUUUUUCCCCUUUUUCCCCUUUUUUCCCUUUUUUCCCUUUUUUCCCUUUUUUCCCUUUUUUCCCUU